This 58-nucleotide microRNA precursor is filed under the name Branchiostoma lanceolatum (amphioxus). Its description in RNAcentral is "Bla-Mir-193-P1j1_pre stem-loop". The record is from RNAcentral. Lineage: Eukaryota; Metazoa; Chordata; Leptocardii; Amphioxiformes; Branchiostomatidae.
CUGGACCUCGCGGAACAGUCGGUUUGUACCAGAUCCUACUGGCCCGCCAAGUCCUGAU